GAUGAACGCUGGCGGCGUGCCUAAUACAUGCGAGUCGAGCGAACAGACGAGGAGCUUGCUCCUCUGACGUUAGCGGCGGACGGGUGAGUAACACGUGGAUAACCUACCUAUAAGACUGGGAUAACUUCGGGAAACCGGAGCUAAUACCGGAUAAUAUAUUGAACCGCAUGGUUCAAUAGUGAAAGACGGUUUUGCUGUCACUUAUAGAUGGAUCCGCGCCGCAUUAGCUAGUUGGUAAGGUAACGGCUUACCAAGGCAACGAUGCGUAGCCGACCUGCGAGGGUGAUCGGCCACACUGGAACUGAGACACGGUCCAGACUCCUACGGGAGGCAGCAGUAGGGAAUCUUCCGCAAUGGGCGAAAGCUUGACGGAGCAACGCCGCGUGAGUGAUGAAGGUCUUCGGAUCGUAAAACUCUGUUAUUAGGGAAGAACAAAUGUGUAAGUAACUAUGCACGUCUUGACGGUACCUAAUCAGAAAGCCACGGCUAACUACGUG
This 497-nucleotide ribosomal RNA is filed under the name uncultured bacterium. RNAcentral's name for it is "partial 16S ribosomal RNA". It matches the Rfam family "Bacterial small subunit ribosomal RNA", at positions 28 to 507 of the family's 1533-position model. The record is from RNAcentral.